CUUCAGCGAGCCGAGCCACAGGGGCCGGUCCUCGCCCGCGCGUUCCUGCCCGUAGGUGUUGAGCAGGGCCUGGGCCUC
This 78-nucleotide antisense RNA is filed under the name Streptomyces sp. NRRL F-6491. RNAcentral describes it as "ASpks sRNA". It matches the Rfam family "ASpks TB sRNA". The record is from RNAcentral. RNAcentral also lists the same sequence under 1 other name. Lineage: Bacteria; Bacillati; Actinomycetota; Actinomycetes; Kitasatosporales; Streptomycetaceae.